RNAcentral lists this ribosomal RNA (523 nucleotides) under uncultured bacterium. RNAcentral describes it as "bacterial SSU rRNA". It matches the Rfam family "Bacterial small subunit ribosomal RNA", at positions 8 to 524 of the family's 1533-position model. The record is from RNAcentral.
AGAGUUUGAUCAUGGCUCAGAUUGAACGCUGGCGGAAUGCUUUACACAUGCAAGUCGAACGGCAGCAUAGGUGCUUGCACCUGAUGGCGAGUGGCGAACGGGUGAGUAAUACAUCGGAACGUGCCCAGUCGUGGGGGAUAACGUAGCGAAAGUUACGCUAAUACCGCAUACGAUCUACGGAUGAAAGCGGGGGACCGUAAGGCCUCGCGCGAUUGGAGCGGCCGAUGUUAGAUUAGGUAGUUGGUGGGGUAAAGGCUCACCAAGCCGACGAUCUAUAGCUGGUCUGAGAGGAUGAUCAGCCACACUGGGACUGAGACACGGCCCAGACUCCUACGGGAGGCAGCAGUGGGGAAUUUUGGACAAUGGGCGCAAGCCUGAUCCAGCCAUUCCGCGUGCAGGACGAAGGCCUUCGGGUUGUAAACUGCUUUUGUACAGAACGAAAAGCUCUGGGUUAAUACCUCGGGGUCAUGACGGUACUGUAAGAAUAAGCACCGGCUAACUACGUGCCAGCAGCCGCGGUAAU